This 1444-nucleotide ribosomal RNA is filed under the name uncultured organism. Its description in RNAcentral is "SSU rRNA". It matches the Rfam family "Bacterial small subunit ribosomal RNA". The record is from RNAcentral.
GCUAUCUACAGGCUUAACACAUGCAAGUCGAGGGGCAUCAGGAAGAAAGCUUGCUUUCUUUGCUGGCGACCGGCGCACGGGUGAGUAACACGUAUCCAACCUGCCCUUUACUCGGGGAUAGCCUUUCGAAAGAAAGAUUAAUACCCGAUGGCAUAAUGAUUCCGCAUGGUUUCAUUAUUAAAGGAUUCCGGUAAAGGAUGGGGAUGCGUUCCAUUAGGUUGUUGGUGAGGUAACGGCUCACCAAGCCUUCGAUGGAUAGGGGUUCUGAGAGGAAGGUCCCCCACAUUGGAACUGAGACACGGUCCAAACUCCUACGGGAGGCAGCAGUGAGGAAUAUUGGUCAAUGGGCGCUAGCCUGAACCAGCCAAGUAGCGUGAAGGAUGAAGGCUCUAUGGGUCGUAAACUUCUUUUAUAUAAGAAUAAAGUGCAGUAUGUAUACUGUUUUGUAUGUAUUAUAUGAAUAAGGAUCGGCUAACUCCGUGCCAGCAGCCGCGGUAAUACGGAGGAUCCGAGCGUUAUCCGGAUUUAUUGGGUUUAAAGGGAGCGUAGGUGGACUGGUAAGUCAGUUGUGAAAGUUUGCGGCUCAACCGUAAAAUUGCAGUUGAUACUGUCAGUCUUGAGUACAGUAGAGGUGGGCGGAAUUCGUGGUGUAGCGGUGAAAUGCUUAGAUAUCACGAAGAACUCCGAUUGCGAAGGCAGCUCACUGGACUGCAACUGACACUGAUGCUCGAAAGUGUGGGUAUCAAACAGGAUUAGAUACCCUGGUAGUCCACACAGUAAACGAUGAAUACUCGCUGUUUGCGAUAUACAGUAAGCGGCCAAGCGAAAGCAUUAAGUAUUCCACCUGGGGAGUACGCCGGCAACGGUGAAACUCAAAGGAAUUGACGGGGGCCCGCACAAGCGGAGGAACAUGUGGUUUAAUUCGAUGAUACGCGAGGAACCUUACCCGGGCUUAAAUUGCAGUGGAAUGAUGUGGAAACAUGUCAGUGAGCAAUCACCGCUGUGAAGGUGCUGCAUGGUUGUCGUCAGCUCGUGCCGUGAGGUGUCGGCUUAAGUGCCAUAACGAGCGCAACCCUUAUCUUUAGUUACUAACAGGUUAUGCUGAGGACUCUAGAGAGACUGCCGUCGUAAGAUGUGAGGAAGGUGGGGAUGACGUCAAAUCAGCACGGCCCUUACGUCCGGGGCUACACACGUGUUACAAUGGGGGGUACAGAAGGCAGCUAGCGGGUGACCGUAUGCUAAUCCCAAAAGCCUCUCUCAGUUCGGAUCGAAGUCUGCAACCCGACUUCGUGAAGCUGGAUUCGCUAGUAAUCGCGCAUCAGCCACGGCGCGGUGAAUACGUUCCCGGGCCUUGUACACACCGCCCGUCAAGCCAUGGGAGCCGGGGGUACCUGAAGUACGUAACCGCAAGGAUCGUCCUAGGGUAAAACUGGUGACUGGGGCU